RNAcentral lists this ribosomal RNA (459 nucleotides) under uncultured bacterium. RNAcentral describes it as "partial 16S ribosomal RNA". It matches the Rfam family "Bacterial small subunit ribosomal RNA", at positions 338 to 795 of the family's 1533-position model. The record is from RNAcentral.
CCUACGGGAGGCAGCAGUGAGGAAUAUUGGUCAAUGGCCGUAAGGCUGAACCAGCCAAGUCGCGUGAAGGAAGAAGGAUCUAUGGUUUUUAAACUUCUUUUAUAGGGGAAUAAAGGUAUCCACGUGUGGAUAUUUUCAUGUACCCUAUGAAUAAGCAUCGGCUAACUCCUUGCCAGCAGCCGGGGUAAUACGGAGGAUGCGAGCGUUAUCCGGUUUUAUUGGGUUUAAAGGAUGCGUAGGUUGUUUUUUAAGUCAGCGGGAAAAUUGCGGGGCUCAACCCCGUAGAGCCGUUGAAACUGGCAGUCUUGAGUUGGCGAGAAGUACGCGGAAUGCGCGGUGUAGCGGUGAAAUGCAUAGAUAUCGCGCAGAACUCCGAUUGCGAAGGCAGCGUACCGGCGCCAGACUGACGCUGAGGCACGAAAGCGUGGGGAUCGAACAGGAUUAGAUACCCGAGUAGUC